RNAcentral lists this ribosomal RNA (305 nucleotides) under uncultured bacterium. RNAcentral describes it as "bacterial SSU rRNA". It matches the Rfam family "Bacterial small subunit ribosomal RNA", at positions 337 to 653 of the family's 1533-position model. The record is from RNAcentral.
GCCUACGGGGGGCAGCAGUCGAGAAUCAUUCGCAAUGGGGGAAACCCUGAUGGUGCGACGCCGCGUGGGGGAAUGAAGGUCUUCGGAUUGUAAACCCCUGUCAUGUGGGAGCAAAUUAAAAAGAUAGUACCACAAGAGGAAGAGACGGCUAACUCUGUGCCAGCAGCCGCGGUAAUACAGAGGUCUCAAGCGUUGUUCGGAAUCACUGGGCGUAAAGCGUGCGUAGGCUGUUUCGUAAGUCGUGUGUGAAAGGCGCGGGCUCAACCCGCGGACGGCACAUGAUACUGCGAGACUAGAGUAAUGGG